GUGGGGAAUAUUCCGCAAUGGACGAAAGUCUGACGGAGCAACGCCGCGUGAGUGAUGAAGGUUUUCGGACUGUAAAGCUCUGUUGUUUGGGACGAAAGUGCCUGUUGCGAACAGUUACGGGUAUUGACGGUACUAAACGAGGAAGCCACGGCUAACUACGUGCCAGCAGCCGCGGUAAUACGUAGGUGGCAAGCGUUGUCCGGAAUUAUUGGGCGUAAAGAGCAUGUAGGCGGGAAUCUAAGUCUGUUGUUAAAAUGCGGGGCUCAACCCCGUAUGGCGAUGGAAACUGGGUUUCUUGAGUGCAGGAGAGGAAAGGGGAAUUCCCAGUGUAGCGGUGAAAUGCGUAGAUAUUGGGAGGAACACCAGUGGCGAAGGCGCCUUUCUGGACUGUGUCUGACGCUGAGAUGCGAAAGCCAGGGUAGCGAACGGGAUUAGAUACCCUUGUAGUCC
This 450-nucleotide ribosomal RNA is filed under the name uncultured bacterium. RNAcentral describes it as "partial 16S ribosomal RNA". It matches the Rfam family "Bacterial small subunit ribosomal RNA", at positions 354 to 796 of the family's 1533-position model. The record is from RNAcentral.